GACAGAGGCCUCAAGCAUUAGGCGGAAUCACUGGGCUUAAAGCGUGUGUAGGCGGAUCGUUAAGUGUCUUGUGAAAUCCCACGGCUCACCCGUGGAACUGCUGGGCAUACUGGCGAUCUUGGGCCAACUAGGGGCAACUGGAACAAGCGGUGGAGCGGUGAAAUGCGUAGAUAUCGCUUGGAACGCCAAAGGUGAAAACAGGUUGCUGGGGGAUGUGCUGACACUGAGACGCGAAAGCCAGGGGAGCGAACGGG
Molecule: ribosomal RNA, 254 nt
Filed under: uncultured bacterium
Lineage: Bacteria
Description: partial 16S ribosomal RNA
Rfam family: Bacterial small subunit ribosomal RNA
Source: RNAcentral